Molecule: ribosomal RNA, 253 nt
Filed under: uncultured bacterium
Lineage: Bacteria
Description: partial 16S ribosomal RNA
Rfam family: Bacterial small subunit ribosomal RNA
Source: RNAcentral
UACAGAGGGGGCAAGCGUUGUCCGGAUUUAUUGGGCGUAAAGCGCGUGUAGGCGGCCACGCAGGUCCGCUGUGAAAACUCGAGGCUCAACCUCGAGAUGUCGGUGGAAACCGCGUGGCUAGAGUCCGGAAGAGGAGAAUGGAAUUCCUGGUGUAGCGGUGAAAUGCGCAGAUAUCAGGAAGAACACCCGUGGCGAAGGCGGUGGUCUGGGCCGGCACUGACGCUGAGGAGCGAAAGCGUGGGGAGCGAACAGG